CAGUAGCCGCGGUAAUACGAAGGGUGCAAGCGUUACUCGGAAUUACUGGGCGUAAAGCGUGCGUAGGUGGUGGUUUAAGUCCGUUGUGAAAGCCCUGGGCUCAACCUGGGAAUUGCAGUGGAUACUGGGUCACUAGAGUGUGGUAGAGGAUAGUGGAAUUUCCGGUGUAGCAGUGAAAUGCGUAGAGAUCGGAAGGAACAUCUGUGGCGAAGGCGACUAUCUGGGCCAACACUGACACUGAGGCACGAAAGCGUGGGGAGCAAACAGGAUUAGAUACCCGCGUAGUCCCGUCUCUUAUACA
Molecule: ribosomal RNA, 301 nt
Filed under: uncultured bacterium
Lineage: Bacteria
Description: partial 16S ribosomal RNA
Rfam family: Bacterial small subunit ribosomal RNA
Source: RNAcentral